UCCUACGGGAGGCAGCAGUGAGGAAUAUUGGUCAAUGGUCGGGAGACUGAACCAGCCAAGCCGCGUGAGGGAGGAAGGUACAGAGUAUCGUAAACCUCUUUUGUCAGGGAACAAAGACUGGGACGCGUCUCCGGAUGAGUGUACCUGAAGAAAAAGCAUCGGCUAACUCCGUGCCAGCAGCCGCGGUAAUACGGAGGAUGCGAGCGUUAUCCGGUUUUAUUGGGUUUAAAGGGUGCGCAGGCGGUCUGUUAAGUCAGCGGGCAAAAGCCGGGGCUCAAACCCGGCCCGCCGAUGAGACUGGCAGG
Molecule: ribosomal RNA, 305 nt
Filed under: uncultured bacterium
Lineage: Bacteria
Description: bacterial SSU rRNA
Rfam family: Bacterial small subunit ribosomal RNA
Source: RNAcentral